This 253-nucleotide ribosomal RNA is filed under the name uncultured bacterium. RNAcentral's name for it is "partial 16S ribosomal RNA". It matches the Rfam family "Bacterial small subunit ribosomal RNA", at positions 524 to 776 of the family's 1533-position model. The record is from RNAcentral.
UACGGGGGGGGCAAGCGUUGUUCGGAAUUACUGGGCGUAAAGGGCUCGUAGGUGGCCAACUAAGUCAGACGUGAAAUCCCUCGGCUUAACCGGGGAACUGCGUCUGAUACUGGAUGGCUUGAGUUCGGGAGAGGGAUGCGGAAUUCCAGGUGUAGCGGUGAAAUGCGCAGAUAUCAGGAGGAACACCGGUGGCGAAGGCGGUUCUCUGGGCAUUACCUGACGCUGAGGAGCGAAAGUGUGGGGAGCGAACAGG